This 497-nucleotide ribosomal RNA is filed under the name uncultured bacterium. RNAcentral's name for it is "partial 16S ribosomal RNA". It matches the Rfam family "Bacterial small subunit ribosomal RNA", at positions 28 to 507 of the family's 1533-position model. The record is from RNAcentral.
GAUGAACGCUGGCGGCGUGCCUAAUACAUGCAAGUCGAACGAACAGACGAGGAGCUUGCUCCUCUGACGUUAGCGGCGGACGGGUGAGUAACACGUGGAUAACCUACCUAUAAGACUGGGAUAACUUCGGGAAACCGGAGCUAAUACCGGAUAAUAUAUUGAACCGCAUGGUUCAAUAGUGAAAGACGGUUUUGCUGUCACUUAUAGAUGGAUCCGCGCCGCAUUAGCUAGUUGGUAAGGUAACGGCUUACCAAGGCAACGAUGCGUAGCCGACCUGAGAGGGUGAUCGGCCACACUGGAACUGAGACACGGUCCAGACUCCUACGGGAGGCAGCAGUAGGGAAUCUUCCGCAAUGGGCGAAAGCCUGACGAAGCAACGCCGCGUGAGUGAUGAAGGUCUUCGGAUCGUAAAACUCUGUUAUUAGGGAAGAACAAAUGUGUAAGUAACUAUGCACGUCUUGACGGUACCUAAUCAGAAAGCCACGGCUAACUACGUG